RNAcentral lists this long non-coding RNA (577 nucleotides) under Homo sapiens (human). RNAcentral's name for it is "HSALNT0365027". The record is from RNAcentral. Lineage: Eukaryota; Metazoa; Chordata; Mammalia; Primates; Hominidae.
AAAGGGCUUUGUGACAUAUGGCAACUCGUUCAAAGGCACACAGCUAAGGGUCAGCAGCAACACACUGCACUCCUGACUCCUGCUCUGAUACUUGCCUCACUGGAACCGUCAUCCCCUCUCAUGUGGCAAAUGCAGCUGGGUAUGUGGUCAGUGCAACCUGUACUUCUACAGCCACCAGCCUGCAGGCUGGACCCCAUUAGAGUGAGGAACGGAACCCCUGCUAGCCAGCCUCAGGUGACAAAACUGAGGCUCAGAGGCCAAUGGCCUUGUUCAAGGUCACACGCCCACUAAAUGAGAGACCCGGAGACCUGGCAUCACACGCUAACUAAGAAUACUGGAAGGAGAUAAGAUUGGGACUGAAAGACCUGGAUUGAAUGAUUUUUAUCAAGUCACUUCCCUUCCUUGGAUCUCCAUUUACUCAUCAAUAAACUAAGCAGAUUGGAUUAAAUGUUCUGUAAGGUGCCUUCUAGGUGAGGAAGAAGUUGGGAUAAGUCAUAAGGGUGAGGACUGAGGCCACAUUUCUGGAUGUCGUUUGAUGAAGGCAGAUUAUGAGCUAGGCUCAAAGCCUCCUCACCGC